RNAcentral lists this long non-coding RNA (536 nucleotides) under Trifolium pratense (red clover). RNAcentral describes it as "long non-coding RNA (TPRA_LNC007714)". Lineage: Eukaryota; Viridiplantae; Streptophyta; Magnoliopsida; Fabales; Fabaceae. The record is from RNAcentral.
AUAAAAUAAAAAAUUAAAUAAAAGCAAACACAAACAGAACCCAGUACCCUUCGCCAUCUCUUCUUUAUCUGCAAACGCCUUCUCUCACUACGAACCAAGAAAUCCUUCACUGGGAAACCCCUCGAAUCCUUCUCUUCACUGAAAACCCAGAAAUCCUUCGUCACUGGCAACCCUAACUUCAUAUGUAUGUAAUUUUUAAACCCUAACUUUUAAUUUUUUUGUUGUUGUGAUAAUUCAAUUUCUGUAUCUGUUGCUAUUUAUGUCAUUAUUAUUAUUUUCCUAUUCCAAUUGUUCUGUAUUGAUGAUAAUAGGAAUUCUAAAAACUUAUAAUUAUAAUUCCUUCUGUAUUUAUGUUAUGAAUUAUUAUUUUCCUAUUCCAAUUCUAAAAAAAAUAUAAUUCAAUUCAUAUUAGAUUUUUAUAGUUGUUGAGUUGUGAAAUAGGUAUUAGUAGUAACCAACUAAAUAUGAAUAAAUUUAAAGUGAUUCUAGGUGAAUUGGAUGGAAUUGAAUUUCUGCCAGGAUAGAGACUUANNNNN